This 281-nucleotide unclassified non-coding RNA is filed under the name Rhizophagus sp. (in: glomeromycetes). Its description in RNAcentral is "partial contains 5.8S ribosomal RNA and internal transcribed spacer 2". Lineage: Eukaryota; Fungi; Glomeromycota; Glomeromycetes; Glomerales; Glomeraceae. The record is from RNAcentral.
GUGAAUCAUCAAAUUUUUGAACGCAAAUUGCACUCUCUUCGGAGAGGAGGCGUGUUUGAGGGUCAGUAUUGAUAAAGAUCGGUGUGUUGGUUCUGGGUGACGCUCGGGAGUUUGGGUCAUCUUAAUAACCUUUAGGUUUUAAGAGGUAUAAAAUUGGCUUUUUUUGCGCAUUUUAGAUGUCCAUAAAUUCUUUUUUUUAUUCGUCUGGCGUAAUGCUCAAAAUCCUAUUAGAUGCGACCAUAUCGUGUGGUUUCGGGUCUAUAAAUUUUUCAUGAUUUUAC